This 26686-nucleotide long non-coding RNA is filed under the name Gossypium raimondii (Peruvian cotton). RNAcentral describes it as "long non-coding RNA (GRAI_LNC010219)". The record is from RNAcentral. Lineage: Eukaryota; Viridiplantae; Streptophyta; Magnoliopsida; Malvales; Malvaceae.
UUAUCUAAGCAAAUACACAUAUAUCACCCAAAACUUCCCACAGAAACUCAAAUUUAAGUACUAACAAGUUCAUAAAACAAGUUAAACGAAAGAUUACAUCAAGGGAAAAAGACAUUCAAGACAAGUAACUAUACCGAUACUUGUAUUUAAUCGAACUCACAAAGCGAUAACCGCGUGUCGUUUGUGCUUGAGGAAUGUCUGAAACUCUUUAUAACCACUCCUGUAAUGGUCCAGACUGAAAGUAAGCUGUCUUAUUACCUCUCUUUUCUCUUCAGAUACAUCUAAGAUCAUGUUCCUUUGCUUAUCCACUUCCUUCUCAAGGUCCUUUAUCUUCAAUUUCAACUCAUCUUCUAGAUUCUUUGUUAGCUGCAUAUGUUCCUUGCUUAAUUGUUGUAAAUGGUCCUCCAUUUGUCUGAUCUGUAAAUCACGAGAACGAACCUCGGCCACGAGAUUGUUUACUGUUGCAGUAACACAAUCUUUGUCUGUCAUAAGCAUAUCAUAUUUCAAUUUCAUUUUGUCAAGGUUCUUAUUCAAAGCGUCUAUGUGUAUACCUUUCUCAUUAAGUUCUGUAGGAUAUGUAGGAUAUGGCAUUUGAAAUUUAUGAUUCCUAUUUGUGGAGCAAGAUGAAUGUAUGAUUUGGUUAAGGUUGAAUGCCUUUGUAUGUGAUGUUUGAAAUGUGGUGCUAACGAGGGCUAUGUUGAUUAGGUUAUAUGAAAUUGACAUGUUUUGAGGUGUAUUUGAUGACUUUUAUAGAGUGGUUAUAGGUUUGGUUUGGUAGCCAAGAUAGGUGUGAAAUUUACCUUGUUUUGGAAGCAAAAAUUGGUGCACAUGGCGAGGGAUACGGGCUAUACACGGCCAACCCACACGGUAAUGAAUCUUAAUGAUUUUAGCUGCAGGGCACACACGGUCUAAGACACAACCAGCGACAUGGUAGUGUGACCCAACAACAAAUGGACAUAGGGGCAGUCACACGGCCAUGUGACCUUAAUUUAAAUAUACACACGGGUGGACACACGGUUAUGUGUCUCGACUUUGAAUGUCCACACGGUCUGGGCUGUUACACACGAUCGUGUGUCCCUUGUUUUCAAAAUUUUCAUCUAUUUUCUAACUUUUCCAUUUUGUUUCAAAUUACACCAGAAUGUUUCCAAUCUAUUUUUAGGGCCCCAUAAACUCAGUUUAAGGCCUGUAAGUGUAUGUUAAUUGUGAAUUGAUUGUGAAUUGAUUAAUUGUAAUUAUAUUGAAUAAUUGUUUGAAAUGUUAUCGUAAUACUCCGUGACGUCAAUUCAGCGACAGACACUAGUUAGGGGCGUUAAGUUUAAAUUGUCUUUUAUAAAUUUUAUAUAAAUGCAUGAAAAAAACAAAAAGAAACACUCUAUAAUAAUAUUUAUUUAUCAUUAAAACUUAGUUUUUUAAUACUUUUCUUGAUCGAGUUAGUGUCGAGCUAACUCAUGAUACAGUCUAAAUUCAUGACGCCAAUUCAAUCAUACACUAAAUAAUAGUAUAAAUGUUAUUGUUCAUGAAAAAAUCAAAAUAUAAAUGUUGAAUCCGAAAAUGAAAUCAACGGUUAAGAUUUGAAAUAUAAGUAGAGAUGGUAAUGGAGUGGGGCGGAAUGAUUUUUUGUCCACCCGAAUUGAUAUACCUCUAACAUAAUCCGACUUUGAUCCAACUCAAAAUUAAAUAUUAAUUUACUUAUCUUGAACCUGACUCGAAAAAUCAAAGUUAUACCCUAUUUUGAUAGAUAUACCAAUACUUUUAAUUGUUUUUAUAUAUUUUUAUCAAAAUAGAAUAAUAGUUUUAAAGUUUUUAAUGAUAACAUGACUUUUUUUUGUAGUUAUAGUUAUGGUAGGGAAAAUAUUUUUAUAAUUAUCAUAUUUUAUAAUCUAAUAUUAGAUAUAAAUGGUUAUUUUGGCAAUUUUUUUUAAAUGGGAGAAAGAAUUAUAUGAAAUUGUGAUUCCACGUUAUCUGUACCCUUUUCUAAUACGAAAAUGACAAAUCAGAAUUUAAGAUUUAAUCCAUGUACUUUAAAAGUUAAAAUUUCAAUUAUCCUACUUCUACGAUUUAAAAAUUCUAGUCCAAUUAUUAUUAUCUAUAAUUUUUUGUCAAAAAAUUCAACUUAACAUCAUAUGAAAUGUUAUAUGAUGGCAGUCUAAUCAACAUGCCAAAUUGGAAGAUUUUGAUGGAAAUUAUUAACAAUGUUAAAGAUUGGAAUGAAAUUUUUAAAUCAAAAAAGUAAGAUAGCUAAAUUCCAAAUUUUAUCUAAGUCAAAGGGACUAACAACAUAUUUUCACAAAAGGAAUUGAUAGACUAAUUUAGGUUUUAAAAUAAGAAAAAUUUUCAUUUCCAGCUAUAUUCAACUUGUAUAAAUAUGGAAGCUAGCAUAUAAGGAUAAUAACUUUUCAUGGAAUCUAAGGACAAAAAAUAAUUAACAAUAUAUUUACAGUUCAAACCUCAUAAUUUUCAACCUUAAAACAUUACAUUGAUUAAACACACAAUUAAAAAGUAUCAAGCUUUAAGAACAACCACACACUUUUUUUGUGAAAUUGAAGCCGCAAUUUUUAGCACCUACCAUGGAUUGCUGAUUUUCUGCAUUCCCAAUGAGCAAUAUACUUGCAUCCUAGUUCUGCACAUUCAAGAAAAAUAUAUUCACAAGGCUUACCACAUUCAACACAUUUAUGGUAGUAAGGAAAUUUCUUGACAAAAGUGAAAGGGUAUGGAUGGUCUACCUCAUUGUAGGUGCUCCCGAGUUUGAUGAAUGGAUAUUUUCCAAGAAUACAAUCCACGUGAGCAAAAGUCUCACAAGUUUCACAAUGAUAAAACCAGUUCUUUGAAUCCCUUUUUUCCUCACAAAUGUCACUAUACAAGCCCAUUUUGCCCGGGGCCCAAUAUGGUCCAAAUAAAACCAACCCAAUACCCACCUAGACCUAACCCAAAAUCUAAAGCCCAAUACCCAAAAUACCCCAGACCCUCGGACCCCCUCCCUUGCAGAGAAUAGAAGUGUUUUUUUUUUUAACAGAAGAGAAAUGAAAUAUUUUUAAAGGAUUUUGACUUAUAUAGGGCCCUUCAAACGACGUCGUUUAAGGGCUGGUUUUAAUGGCUCAAAACGGCGUCGUUUUAGCCUUAGGAUCCGCGUGUUAACCCGACCCGUAAGGAGGAUCAGCGUGUUUUGUUGAAACGGGGAAAUUGUGCUUUUGGCCCCUCCGUGUUUUUAAUGUUUCGCAAUCGGAUUUUCUUAUUUUUAAAAUUUACCCUUUAAUUUGUUUUGAUUUCAAUUUGACCCUCUCUGGGACAACGUCGUUUGAUAAGCAAGGGGGUAUUUCCCUCUUCGGUCAUCUGCCUUUCAUGCGUGUUACAAUUUAAUCUUUUUUUAUAUAUAUCUUUAAUUACGGCCCUAAAACAUUGUUUGAUUUUCGAUUUGAUCCUUAAUUGGCUAUUAUAAUUAUCCUUCCUAUUAAAUUGAUUAUUUUAAUUGCAUUAAUGUUAUUAUACAGCGCUAUUAUUUAUUAGUAACAUUAUUAUUUUUAUUUCAUUUAUGCAUUUUUAUUUCUAAAAGUUUAUAUAUAUAGGCAUACAUUUCUCUAAUAUAUUUAUUUUAAAAUUCUUAUAAGUAUGUUGUUAUUUCAUUUUUUAUAUAUGCUUAUUUUUAUAAUAUACAUAUACGUACAUACUUACAUUUUUGUAUUAUGAUUUGCAUACACAUUUAUAUAUCUAUAUAACAUUUCUUAUCUUCGUAAAAACGCAUAUACAAAUUUAUAUAUACCUAUAUUUUCCAUAAUAUAUAAUACCUAUACAUAUUCUUGAUUUUUAUAAAUAUAUACAUGCUACCAUAUAUCUCUUAUUACAUUUUAUAGUAUAUAUAUAUACGCACUUUCAUACUUAUAUAUUUCAUAAUUUCUAUAUACAUACACACAUAUUUUAAUUCAUAUACAUAUAUAUAUACAAAUAUAUACAUAUAUAUAUUUUAUAUAUUCUAUUUUUUUAUUUUUUUAUUUCUACUACAAUUGUGUGUUUCACGCAAUGCUUGUUUUCUAUUUUAUGCCCGUUUUACUCGAAUAGUUUAUCUGUUUAUUACCUUGCAUGAUCAAUUCGAGUUUUAUUUAUCUUUUAUUUGCUGUUGCUCAUGCUAUUUGUGUUUGCAUCAUCGUAUAUACCAUUGCUUUGUCACGCAUAUCAACAAUAUAAUCUAUUUUCUUAUUUUUUAUGACAUCGUGUUUUAUUUUAGUCGAUAUGUCAAAAUUUGUCUUAAAAAAUAGUAUUUCGUAUUUUGAUAUUCGAAAAAUCGUACCCUAACUUACGGGGUUUCGAUUUUCUCGAUAAGUCUAAAUACGCGAAUCAUUUCAAACAAAGUUUUUUUUAUGUUCUCGGGAAUUAAAGAAAGAUCGUGUUCUAACUCACGGGACAUGAUUUCUUUCCUAAACCCGAGAUAAUCAAAUAUUUUCUUUAAAAUAAGUAAAUGUUUUUUGGUAUUCAUUUUCGUAUCGAGAAUUCGAGAUAUUGUGUCAUAACUUAAAGAACGUAAUUCUCUUUCUCGAUCAAUGUAACAUAUGCCUUUUUCUCAAUUUUUUAGCAUUUCAAUAAAGGAUCGUAUUUUAUCUCCUUAAAGUUUCCAAUCUUCGACAUUAAAACACUGAUUAAUCAAUUAGGUACCAAUUUUGGGCGUUACUAGGAUGCUAAUCCUUCCUCGUACGUAACCGACUCCCGAACCUAUUUUUCUGAAUUUCGCAGACCAAAAGCAUUGUUUUAAUAAAUCUAAACCAUUUAUUAAAAAACAACUGCUUUACGAGGUGACCCGAUCACAUCUCAUCAAAAAAAGAUUGGUGGCGACUCCCACAUUCGUUUUCAUUUUUUAAAAUCCAAGUCGACCCUAUUUUAUCAAAAAAAUGGUGUCAACAGUCACAACAAUAAUAUUUUACAUAAUCAUUAAUAUUUUCAUAAGUGAGAGUAAGAAUAUAAACAUCGCAUUUGAGUUUAACUGUAGUUGGUAGCAGAACACACCAACCGCAUAAAUUAAAAUUACAAUCCUUACAACAAAAUGCGGUAAUGAUAUCCCUCCCACAAGCACUACUGCUCCUCAUAAUCAUAAUAGAAAAGUAGAGGGCGUUUAUGCCCUGGAAUUUUUACAGCAUCUUGGAGAGUUGCACAUCGAACGCACGUGUGAAUUCCACAUUCAUUACUGCAUUGAUCACAUUCCCAAUCAGAUCUUCCCACGAAUCUAUCUACCUUUCUUUAUUGGGAUAAUAUAGUUUUUGGCCCUUAAACUUAAUAAUUAAAUUUUCUUUGAUACUUGUAUUUUUUUUACUUUGGUCUUUGAAUUUGACAACUAAAUUCAUUUUGAUCCUUAAACUCGGUACUUGAGCAUUUUAUGAAUUUUAAUUAUUUAUUAAAUUAUUAUUGGUCCAACGGUUGUACUGAUCGAAUUGAGAAUCAGUGAUCUCAGUUAUUAAAACACUGAAUUUGACACUCUUAAAAUUAAUGUGUAGUAAAAUUUUAUUUUGGCCCCCAAAAUGAAAAAAUUUAUUUCAGUGCUUUUGUAAAUAAAGAAAUUAUAAAUUAAUAAAUAGUAAAAUUUCUCUUUAGCCCCUUAAAAAUGAAAAAAUAAUAAUUAAUAUAUAGUAAAAUUUCUCUUUAGCCCCUUAAAAAUGAAAAAAAUUAUGUUUAAUUCCUUAAAAAAUCAUGAAAUUAUAAAUUAAUACAUAAUAAACUUAUUUUUUAUCUAUGAAAAAAUUAUAAUUAAUUCCGCCCCUUGUUAAAAAAAAAUUCUAGAUUCACCCCUACCGAAGUGAACAAAAAAAAGUACAGAUACCAAAUUGAACUUUUAGGGGUCAAAAAUUAUAUUAUCCCUUCUUUAUCUUUCAUUUUUAUUUUCUAUUUUUUUACAAUUUUUGGCAUUUAAUUAAGAGAAAAUUGGGGCUCAUUAUCAUCUCUUAUCUCAAGGUAUUCACGGUUUAAAAUUAAGAGAAUUAAGAGAAGUUUUGAGAGGUUAAAGUUAAAAUUAUUUCAUUAAAAUAAAUAUUAAACUUUUGAAAGGAUCAAAAAUAAAAAAAAUCAUUUAACAAAAAAAUUUAAAAAGAAUUAAAUUGAAUUUUUAAUAUUUUAGAAAGACUAAAAUUAAAUUGUACCAUUUAAUCAGGUCCAUAUUCUUCUUAUAAAUCAACCCUUUAUUCAUUGAAAUAUAUAUUUGUUUCUUUGAAAAUAUUUUUUAUGAAAUAUUUUUAAAAAAUUUGUCAAAUUAAUGAAAAUAUUUUACAUCGAUUCUAAACAAAUUUUCCAGUCUAAACAAUUUUUUUUUUAUAUCUAACUAUAUUCUACUUAUAUAAAUAUGGAAGGUGGCACAUAAGGACUAAAUAUUCAUGGAAUCUAAGGAUUAUUAUGAUUUUAGUUAGCAUGCAACAAAUUUAAUAUAUGAAAAUUAAAGAAGAUAUAAGCAAAUCAUAUCAAUUUUAUUCUCAUAUAUUUACAAUUCAAAUCUAAAUACAUUACAUUGUUUAAACACACAAUUAAUAAGUAGCAACCAUUAACAAUAACCACACACUGUCUUGUUCUGAAAUUGAAGUCGCAAUUUUUAGUAUCUACCACUGAUAUCUGCAUUUCCAAUGAGCAAUAUAGUUACAUCUUGGUUCUGCACAUUCAAGAGAAAGAUCUUCACAGGGCUUAUCACAUUUAACACAUUUAGGAUAGUAAUGAAUCUUCUUGACAAAAGCGAGAGGGUGUUCAUGGUUUCCCUCAUUGUAGGUGCUUCCGAGUUUGAUGAAUGAAUAUUCUCCAAGAACGCAAUUCACGUGAACAGAAGUGUCACAAGUUUCACACUGGUAAAACCAGUACUUUGGAUCCCUUUCUUUCUCACAAAUGUCACAAUAAUGAUAUUUUGCAUAAUCAUUAACCUUGUCAUAAGUGAGUGCAAGAAUAUGUUCAUCGCAUUUGUGUCUAACUCUAGUUGGUCGUAUAACACAUAAAUUGCAUAAAUUAAAAUUGCAAUCCUUGCAACGAAAUGCGCAAGAGAUAUCCCCCCCACAACCACUACACUGCUCCUGAUAAUCAUAAUAGAGAAGAAGAGGGUGUUUAUGCCCUGGAAUUUUUACAUCAUUUUGGAGAGUUGCACAUUGAACGCACCUGUGAAUUCCACAUUCAUUACAUUUAUAAGAAAAUCCAUUAGAAAGGUACCCGCAUAUAUCACAUUCGAACAUGCAGUCUGAAGUAAGGAUGAAGGAUUUUGAUCCAGAAAAAGGCUUUCCAGCACAACGAUGAUCCAAAAUAAGGUCCAUCUUAGGUAAUUCAGCACAAGAUUUAUGAAGAAAGAAAUCACACCGCAUGCAAUGGUAGAACUUAGCGGAGAUCAAUAACAAGCACCCAUCACAACAUUUAUCACCAUGCUCGCUGAUUUUGUCACUUAACAUCAAGUAGUGCCUAUGCUUGCAAUGUUCUAUGAGUGUGGCUUCUCCAGCAUCAUUCGUCUCAAGAACCUUAGUGAUGGAGUUAACAGGUAUAUCAAGAGACUUGUCAGCUUCAUUUUCCUGUGAUACUAUGCAAUACAACUUCUUUUCUUUCAAUGCACAAUCCACAUGGAAUAUAACAUUACAAUCUGCACAGAAGUAACUACCGUGCUCUGUAUCGACAACUUCAUGGCACAUAAUGCAAUUCAAACUUUCAAAAUAUUCCUUGUGAAUGAAAUACGUGUGAAAAACACGAUGGACAUGGAAAGAGUGUUGGAGAAUGCGUGGCAAUGAAAUGCAUUUUUUAUGGACCAUAAUACUGCAUGUACAACAUGCAUAGGCAACAUGAUGUCCUUCGGUGCCACAAGCAUCACAAAUGAAUGGAAUUUGUCUCCAAAACAAGGUGAAUGGGUGUUGAUGACUUUUAUCUUCAAUAACUGGUAAUGGCGAUAAACAAUCAAUAUGAAUAGCCAAAUUACAAGUUGAGCAACCAUACAGAAAGCCUCUUUGUUGGGUUACUUGGCAUAUCUUGCAAGAAAGCCGUUCACUAUUAAAUUGCAGAAGAAGAGGAUGUUUGCGAUGGCACACAUGACCCAUUUUGGGAGGAAGCUCAGCACAUUUCUUAUGCAAAUUAAACCCACAAUCAAGAGAGAAGUAUGUAUAAAUUGCUAAUGGUUCCCAACACGCAAAGCACUUACCCAGGUUUCCACCAUCGUUCUUAGAGGAAAACGAUGGAUCCUCAAGGGCCACAUGCUCAAGCUCUUUCAAAUUUCUUUCAGCAAUAUUAAAUGUAAACAAAGCACAUUUAAUAUGAAAGUUCAAGCCACAAGAGCAAUGGUAAAUGAAUUUCUCACAUGUUUCAUCACAGAAAUCGCAAACGCACCUUGUGUAAGAAGAUGGUGGAUUCUGCAAAAGCAGGAGAGGAUGGUGGCGAUGAAAAGGAUGAUUAAGCUCCAAAGGUGCCUGGGCACACGUCUUGUGGAGGUAAAACCCACUGCACUCCACACAGCUAAAACAUGGAGCUGACACCUUCUCCCCACACCUUGAGCAAUCAACAACUCCAUUGCCAUUGCCAAGCAACUGCUCUUCAUUUAACAUCAACAGUGGAUGUUGAUGCCCGUAGUUCUUUAGCUCUUCCAUUUCUCCUUCCUCUCUGUAUCUUUCGAUGUGGUAGAGAAAGAAAAAUUGAAAUUGAAUAACUCAAAGAAAGCAGAAAAUUAGAAGGGAGAGAUUCCAAAUGUUUAUUUGUAGGAGUCUCUUUGAACUUGCUAUGGUACUUUGCUUCGACGGUGUGUUGCCUAUACCCAUAUAUGUUUCUUCUUUAUAAUUACUAUGAAUGGGAUGCAAUGGGUUUGAGUGUACUCUUAAGUAAAUUAUCAAUUUUUUUCCUUUAUUCUUUGCUUUGUGGAUUAACUAAUUUUGUGGAUUAGAUAAUGAAUAUUCUGAUAUUGUUUGUGUGUAAAAAUAUAAGAUAAUAAGAUGAAAGGUAUUUUUAUAGGUUACGAGUUUUUCAAUUGAGAAUGAUAUCAAACAAUCAAAUUAUUCUAAAAAAAUUUGAAUCAAACAAUCAAACCAUUUAUCUAAUCGAAAAUUAAAAGCCUAUUUAAUUUAUUCUGGUGAUUAGAAUAAAAAAAUUUUGAACAAAGCUAGAUAGAUUAAUUAUACAAUUACCGAGCCACCAAUCGGCUCUCUUAGGAUAAUCUGCUACAGAAAUUACUCUUAACUCCCUUGGUAUUUGCUCAACCACUUCAAUCCCAAUGGGGUCAUCGUUCAUUAAACUAACCAUAUAAUUAGAUGUGAAUGAGACAUCUUUAUUAUAGGAAUGAUCCACAUUCGCUGUCCUGCAGUACAAAACUGUUGGAACACUGGCAGCAACAACCAAACAAUGAAACACUAAGAGCAUAAGCUCUUCAAACAGCAAGCAGAAACACAAAGCAUCAAGAGCAUAAGCUCUCGGUUAACAGGCAGAAAAAAGAAAAAGAAAGAACAAUGGCAGCAGCUCUUAGAAAAAGAACAAAACAGAGAACAAAGGAGGAAGAAACAAAAAUAAUUUACUUGCUCACAAACGUGCAGCAAGGAAGCAAUCUAAGUUUCACAACUGAUAUGCUUAAUUUUUCAAUAAGAAAAACAAUACAUUUAUAGCCAACCACAUCAGUUAUUACUACCUAAUACCACUAAGUAGCCUAGUAACUUUAAAAACAUUGCUUGUACACAUGGAUAAGCUGACUUAUCAGCUCAACCAACCCAUCAAAACAUCAACAUCAAAGUUCAUUCUCAACCAAACUAAAUUACAGAAUCAUCAUAGUACCAUGCAUUUUAACAAAAACAUAAUAGCAGCAUGGUUGGCCAUUUUUAACACAAACUGAAUCUACAAGCUAAUGAUAGAAACAUAAACCAAAAUAUAUAGUACAUUGUUUGAUUAAAAUUGAAAACAUGGUUCAUAUUUGUCCACUGUAAUGUUCAGGUGUUCAAUAACAUGCAAAAGAUAUAUAUAUAUAUAUAGUCUAAUGACAGCUUCAAGUUUAUCUAAGCAAAUACGAAUAUAUCACCCAAAACUUCCCACAGAAACUCAAAUUUAAGUACUAAUAAGUUCAUAAAACAAGUUAAACGAAAGAUUACAUCAAGGGAAAAAGACAAUCCAGACAAGUAACUAUACCGAUACUCAUAUUUAAUCGAACUCAUAAAGCGAUAAACGCUUGUCGUUUGUGCUUGAGGAAUGUCUGAAGCUCUUUAUAACCACUCCUGUAAUGGUCCAGACUGAAUGUAAGCUGUCUUAUUACCUCUCUUUUCUCUUCUGACACAUCUAAGAUCAUGUUCCUUUGCUUAUCCACUUCCUUCUCAAGGUCCUUUAUCUUCAAUUUCAACUCAUCUUCUAGAUUCUUUGUUAGCUGCAUAUGUUCCUUGCUUAAUUGUUGUAAAUGAUCCUCCAUUUGUCUGAUCUGUAAAUCACGAGAACGAACCUCGGCCACGAGAUUGUUUACUGUUGCAGUAACACAAUCUUUGUCUUUCAUAAGCAUAUCAUAUUUCAAUUUCAUUUUGUCAAGGUUCUUAUUCAAAGCUUCUAUCUGUAUACCUUUCUCAUUAAGUUCGGUCUUCAAUUGAUUGAUCUGACCUUGUAAGUUGGUUUCUUGUACAGCAAGCAAGCUUUCGAUAACUGGUAAUGGCGACACACAAUCAAUGUGAAUAGCCAACUCACAAGGUGAACAACCAUACAAAUAUCCUCUUCCUUGAGUUACUUGGCAUAUUUUGCAAGCACGCCGUUCACUAUUAAAUUGCAAAACAAGAGGAUGUUUGCGAUGACACGAAUGAUCCAUUUUGAGAGGAAGCUCAGCACACCUCUUAUGCAAUUUAAACCCACAAUCAAGAAAGAAGUAUGUAUACAUUGCUAAUGGUUCCCAGCACACAAAGCACUUACCCAGGUUUCCACCAUCGUUUUUAGAGGAAAACGAUGGAUCCUCAAGGGCCACAUGCUCAAGCUCUUUCAAAUUUCUUUCAGCAAUAUUAAAUGUAAACAAAGCACAUUUAAUAUGAAAGUCCAAGCCACAAGAGCAAUGGUAAAUGAAUUUCUCACAUGCUUCGUUGCAGAAAUCGCAAACGCACCAUGUGUAAGGAGUGUAAGGUGGAUUGUUGAAGUCAACCCCCAUGCAACAGCCAAGGUGACCAUGCAAGGUGGCCAUGCAGGGAUCGUGCUUUAACAGCAAACCGAAACUGCAUUGUUUCAUUUGGUUACUCAAAUGAACAUUUUGUAUUUUAGUUUGUUUUGAACUAAGUUGGUAACUGUAUUUUGAUGUAAUUAGGUGCUGAAUGACAAGUUUAGGUAGAAGUUUAUGUUUUCAAUCAAGUUUACCAAGUUACUAGGCAAUUUAGUGGUGUUAGGUAUGUUAUUAGGUGGCAACUUGUUUGUUUUGCUGUUGUUAUCUCAUAUAUGUAUUGGUAUUAUGGCUUGUAAAAAUGUUAAUGAAAAUUCAGCUCAUUUUCAUUCAAUUUCAUCUCUUUCUUUUCUGUUCUCCAUUGCAAAAUUUCUUUCUUCUUCUUCAAUAGUUUAUUCAGCAAGGCUCGACACUUGCUGUGCAAGCAAGCUGAAACCAUCUUGCUAUUACCUCUUGCACCAACAAUUGGUAUCUAGAGCCGUUGUCUUAGUGGACCUGUUGCUUCAAACCAAGGAACCUGAUGGCUUCUUCAGGAUUUUCACCAGCAGCCCCACCAGUCUUCAAUGGAGAAAGCUUUCACAUAUGGCUGGUAAAGAUGAAGACUUACCUGCAGGCCUUUGAUCUGUGGGAAGUUGUUAACACAGAUGCUGAGCCAGCACCACUGAGGGCUAAUCCCACAGUAGCUCAGAUCAGACAACAUGCUGAUGAGAGGACCAAAAGGCACAAAGCCAUGUCCUGCAUUCAGAACUGUGUAUCAGAUGUCAUCUUUACCAAAAUUAUGGCCUGUGAGACUCCAAAACAGGCCUGGGACAAGCUUAAGGAGGAGUUUCAAGGCACUGAGAGGACAAGGCAACAACAGCUGUUGAAUUUGAGAAGGGAUUUCGAGAAUCUGAAGAUGUAGGAAGAAGAAACAGUGAAGCAGUAUUCAGAUAGAAUUAUGGCAGUGGUUAACAGUAUAAGGCUCCUAGGUGAGCACUUUGAUGAGGCAAGAAUUGUGGAGAAAGUCCUCUCCACUUUGCCUGAGAAAUAUGAAGCAAAGAUAUCCUCCCUAGAGGACUCAAGAGACCUUGCUAGCAUCUCUUUGACUGAGUUAAUCAACACCUUCUAUGCUCAGGAACAAAAGAGAGCUAGCAGAGCUGAAGAUCACCAAGAAGGUGCAUUUCAAGCCAAGGCCAGAGAAGCCUCGAGCACCAAUGCUCAAAGAGGCAAAAAGCCUUGGAAAAGCAGGCCUAAGCCUGAUGCUGCAAGGAGCAAUGACCAGCCCUGCAGAUAUUGCAAGAAGCUAGGCCAUCCAGAAGACAGAUGUUGGUUCAGGCCAGAAGCAGUAUGCCAGCACUGCAAGAAGAAGGGCCAUGUUGAAAGGGUUUGCAAAAAUAGAACCAAGCCAAGGCAGAGCCAAUUUCAACAACCAAAGGUUGAAGCUCGAGUAGCUGAGGACAGUAGUGACCAAGAGGAGCAGGUCUUUGCUGUUUCUUGCUUAACUGCUGAGAAGAAAUCUUCAAAAGGUUGGCUAUUGGACAGUGGUUGCACUAACCACAUGUCACCAGAUGCCUCCUUGUUUAAAACCUUGGAUAGAAGUUGCAAAACCAAGGUCAAGGUUGGAAAUGGCCAGUUUAUAAAGGCUGAAGGAAGAGGAGAGGUGCUGAUAUGUACUCCUACAGGUAACAAGGUCAUACCAAAUGUGCUUUUGGUGCCUGAGAUUGACAGAAACCUUCUCAGCAUAGCCCAAUUGCUUGAGAAAGGUUAUUCUGUUGUAUUCAAGGAUAAACAGUGCCACAUUGCAGAUCCAAGUGGAUCAAGCCUUAUGACAGUCACAAUGACUGAUAAAUGCUUUAAGGUUCAUUGGUCAAAUGACUCAAAGUCAGCAUAUACAGCCUCUAUAGAUGACUCCAAACUCUGGCAUAGAAGGCUUGGACAUGCCAACUUCAGGUCAAUGGGUCGAAUGGCCAGUGAGGGCUUGGCUGAGAACUUCACCAACUCAGUGGAGUAUGAUGAUGUGUGUGAGGUCUGCCAGAUGGGGAAACAGGCAAGAUUGCCAUUUUCUACAAAUGCAGCAUGGAGAGCUACUGAAAGACUGCAGCUGGUGCACUCUGAUGUAUGUGGCCCGAUGAGGACUGAAUCACUCAGCAAAAACAGGUAUUUCAUCCUCUUCAUUGAUGAUUUUACAAGGUUUUGCUGGAUUUUCUUCUUAAAACAUAAGUCUGAGGUAGCUCAAGUGUUUGUGAAGUUUAAAACUACUGUAGAAACAGAAACAGGUUGCAAGCUGAAAUCGAUAAGGUCAGACAAUGGCACUGAGUACACUUCAGCUCAGUUUCAAGCCAUUUGCAAGGAUGCUGGCAUCAAACACCAGCUUACAAAUGUCUACACACCUCAGCAGAAUGGGGUAUCUGAAAGAAAGAACAGAAGUCUGAUGGACAUGGCCAGGUGCCUGUUGUUUGAGAAGAAACUGCCCAAAGCCAUGUGGGCUGAGGCAGUGAACACUGCUGUUUACCUACAGAACAGACUUCCAACCAAAGCUCUUACUCACAAGACACCUUUUGAGGCAUGGUUUGGUUUCAAACCUUCAUUGGCUCAUCUAAAGGUGUUUGGUUGCUUGUGUUAUACACAGAUACCAACAGUAAAGAGGGAUAAGCUAUCAAAGAGAGCUCAGGCUGGCAUCCUAGUUGGCUAUAGCUUAGUCAAAAAAGGAUAUCGGAUCCUGGACCCCUUGACAAGUAAAAUUCAAGUGAGUAGGGAUGUGAUUUUUGAUGAAAAGGCAUGCUGGAAUUGGGAUAAGAAUUCACCAGAAGCUGAGGUAAAUGAAAUGGUGCCUAACCAAGCUGAACUUGAGCAACUUUGUCCUGAAGUGGACUUUGAUGAUGUGCCUGUAAGAGGCACAAGGCUCUUGGAUAAAAUUUAUGAAAGAGCACAGGUUGCCAAAGUUGAACCUACCUGUUUUGAAGAAGCUGAGACAGAUGAAGGUUGGAAGCAAGCAAUGGCAAAAGAGAUCAGCAUGAUUGAGAAGAAUCAGACUUGGGAACUGGUUGAAAAACCUGUCAACAGAAGGAUCAUUGGAGUAAAAUGGGUUUAUCGAGUCAAGCACAAUGCAGAUGGAAGCUUAAACAAACUGAAAGCUAGACUGGUUGUAAAAGGCUUCAGUCAAAAAUAUGGUUUGGACUACAUGGAAACAUUUGCUCCAGUAGCCAGACUUGAUACAAUCAGAUUGCUUGUGGCUCUUGCUGCUCAAAACCAGUGGUCAAUUCACCAGAUGGAUGUAAAGUCUACAUUUCUCAAUGGCUUUCUGGAAGAGGAGAUAUAUAUUGAACAACCUCCAGGUUUUGUAAUGCCUAGUAGAGAACACUUGGUAUACAGGCUCAAAAAGGCCUUGUAUGGCCUAAAACAGGCUCCUAGAGCCUGGUAUGCUCGAAUUGAUUCAUACCUGAUCAGCUUAGGAUUCGAAAGAAGUUCUAGUGAACCAACUCUUUAUGUUAAGAAGAAUCAAGCAGAAACACAGCUUAUUGUGUCUCUUUAUGUGGAUGAUCUCCUUGUGACAGGAGGAGACAAGACUAUGUUAGAAGAUUUCAAAGGAAAAAUGAAGGAGAUGUUCGAGAUGUCAGAUUUGGGGUUGAUGACUUAUUUCCUUGGAAUAGAGAUACAACAAGCUGAUCAAGGGAUCUUUUUGGGACAAAAGGCAUUUGCUUUGAAAGUUUUAUCCAAGUUUUCAAUGCAAAAUUGCAAGCCAACAUGCACACCUAUGGCAGUUGGCAUAAAACUGUCGAGCCAAGAAGAACAUGAGCCUGUCAAUGAAUCAUUUUAUAGGAGCCUUGUUGGUUGUUUUCUGUAUUUAACAGCAACAAGACCUGACAUUCUGUUUGCUGUGAGCAUGCUAUCAAGGUUCAUGCACUGCUGUAACCAGCAACAUUACAAGGCUGGGAAAAGGGUGCUAAGAUACAUCAAAGGUACCUUAAACCAUGGAAUAUAGUUUAGAAGGGCUGAAGAGUUGAAACUGAUUGGCUACACUGAUAGCGAUUGGGCUGGUUCAAAGGAUGACAUGAAGAGCACUUCUGGCUAUGCUUUUACACUUGGCUUAGCUAUAAUAUGUUGGAGCUCAAGAAAACAAACAAUGGUGGCUCAAUCAACAGCAGAAGCAGAGUAUGUAGCAGCUGCCAAUGCUGUUAAUCAAGCUAUGUGGCUGAGAAAAAUUUUGAGCGAUUUGAAUCUACAGCAGAAUGAAGCAACUGUGAUACAUUGUGACAACAAGUCAGCAGUUGCUAUUGCUAAAAAUCCUGUCUUCCAUGGCAGGACAAAACAUUUCAACAUUAAACUCCAUGUGAUAAGAGAAAUGGAACAAGCUCGAGAGAUCGAGCUAAUUCAUUGCAGCUCAGAAGGUCAGAUCGCCGAUAUCUUCACAAAAUCACUUGGUACAUCGAGAUUUCUAAACCUAAGGAAGCAGCUAGGAGUCUGCUGCAUAGAAGCUGAGGAGGAGUGUUGAAGUCAACCCCCAUGCAGCAGCCAAGGUGACCAUGCAAGGUGGCCAUGCAGGGAUCGUGCUUUAACAGCAAACCGAAACUGCAUUGUUUCAUUUGGUUACUCAAAUGAACAUUUUGUAUUUUAGUUUGUUUUGAACUAAGUUGGUAACUGUAUUUUGAUGUAAUUAGGUGCUGAAUGACAAGUUUAGGUAGAAGUUUAUGUUUUCAAUCAAGUUUACCAAGUUACUAGGCAAUUUAGUGGUGUUAGGUAUGUUAUUAGGUGGCAACUUGUUUGUUUUGCUGUUGUUAUCUCAUAUAUGUAUUUGUAUUAUGGCUUGUAAAAAUGUUAAUGAAAAUUCAGCUCAUUUUCAUUCAAUUUCAUCUCUUUCUUUUCUGUUCUCCAUUGCAAAAUUUCUUUCUUCUUCUUCAAUAGUUUAUUCAGCAAGGCUCGACACUUGCUGUGCAAGCAAGCUGAAACCAUCUUGCUAUUACCUCUUGCACCAACAUGGAUUCUACAGAAGCAGGAGAGGAUGGUGGCGAUGAAAAGGAUGAUUAAGCUCCAAAGGUGCCUCGGCACAUGUCUUGUGGAGGUAAAACCCACAGCACUCCACACAGCUAAAACAUGGAGCUGACACCUUCUCCCCACACCUUGAGCAAUCAACAACUCCAUUGCCAUUGCCAAGCAACUGCUCUUCAUUUAACAUCAACAGUGGAUGUUGAUGCUCAUAGUUCUUUAGCUCUUCCAUUUCUCCUUCCUCUCCGUCUCUUUCGAUGUGGUAGAGAAAGAAAAAUUGAAAUUGACUAACUCAAAGAAAGCAGAAAAUUAGAAGGGAGAGGUUCCAAAUGUUUAUUUGUAGGAAUCUCUUUGAACUUGCUAUGGUACUUUGCUUCAACAGUGGGUUGCCUAUACCUAUAUAUGUUUGAUCUUCUUUAUAAUUACUAUGAAUGGGAUGCAAUGGGUUUGAGUGUACUCUAAGUAAAUUAUCAAUUUUUUUCCUUUAUUCUUUGCUUUGUGGAUUAACUAAUUUUGUGGAUUAGAUAACGAAUAUUCUGAUAUUGUUUGUGUGCCAAAAAAAACAAGAUGAUAUGAUGAAAGGUAUUUUUACAGGUUACGAAUUUUUCAACUGAGAAUGAUAUCAAACAAUCAAAUUAUUCUAAAAAAAUUGAAUUAAAUCAUUUAUCUAAUCGAAAAUUAAAAACCUAUUUAAUUUAUUCUGGUGAUUAGAAUAAAAAAAAUUUGAACAAAGCUAGAUAGAUUAAUUCUAACAUUUUUGUGAGGCUAAACCAUAAUUUUACCAUAUAUUAACUUAAUAUUUUAUAAAAUUUAGGAGAUUAAAGCAACAAUUAGAAAGAUAUAAAUCCCAACGUGUUUAAGCACAUAUUUUUUCUUUAAUUUAAAAUUAUGAAAAAAUUAUAAAUAAAAGUUAAUUAUAUUAUACUCUAAAGUCUAUUCUUUGUCAUAAAGUAUUCAACUUUUGCAGCCGACAAUAUUAAGAAAAAAAAUUUGUUCCUCCAACAAUCACUUUCUUUUAUAAUUAAAAUUUGAAUUUUGAUUUUCAAAGCCCUUAAUAUUUCAAACAAGUUGGUGGAAAUUUCCAAAUCGUCCCUUUAUUAUAAAGAUUUGUUUGAUUUAGUCUCUAUAUUAUUAAAUGAAUUGAUUUAGUCCGUGUACUAUUAAAAAGUAUCAAUAAGGGAAAAUUGGAAAAUACUUAAAUAUUUACUAUAUAAAAAAUGUCAUUUAUUGUUUCGUAUUUUUAAAUUUUUUACGGUUCUGUAAAUGAAAUCUUGUGUUUUGAAAAAAAAUAUUUUCAAGACAUUUUUUAUAUUGUUAACUUUGUUACAAAUUAGACAGACUUAAAUUUUUUUGAUAGUAUAGAGACUAAAUUUAUUUAUUUAAUAAUAGAAAUUUUAAUUUGGUCCAAUCCCUAUAAUACAAGGAACUCACGGGACAAACACAAUAAAUUUGAUGCUAACCUAUGAAGUUUUGAAAAUUAAUGUAUGCAAUUAUAAAAUGAUACAUGCGUAGUUGACUAUGUCAAAAUGGGAAGUAAAUGGGAUAAAUCUCAAAAUUAUACAUACAUGAACUUUAUUUUGGUGCAAUUAUAGACGUGAAACGCUAUUGUGAUUCAAAUGUAUAUUUGAAACUUUAAUUUUGAUUUAAUCAUACACAUUUAAAGAAAUAAAGUCAAGUUUUAUUUUUAUAUUGUAUAAAAAUAAUAUUUAUGUAUGCAAUAUAUAAACAUAAAAUGAUGUUAUAUCAAUAAUCAUGUUAAUAAUUUAAAAGAAUAGGAUCAAAUUAAAAUUUCAUGUAUAUAAUUGCACAUUAAAUCAUAGUUCGUAUAUAAUUUUGAAAUUUAUCCAUAAAUAAAUUAGUUAAAUUUUUAAUUGGAUUUAACCUCUCUUUUGCACAUAUUAUAAUUUAUUCAUGGAGCUUCACAAAAAAGCAUAAUCGUAAUCAAAAUCAAGAUUAUGGAGUUUAAAAUGAUAAAGUUUUUUGAAAAUCGUAAUAUUUUAGAUUUAAAUUUCAUCAUUAGUAGGUUUGAUGUUUUUAGUCUAUUAGUUCAUGAUACUAACUUGAUUAGAAAUUUUCAGUUGGAAUAAUUUGUCCACUUCAAUUGUACAAACUAUUAAAAAAACCCAUAAAUAUAUAAAAAAUAUAUAUAUAUAUUCAACCAUAAAUUUAUAUCGAUUCAUAGAUCAAUCGAUCCAACUUCUUAUUUCGAACUGAUACCUCAAUUAGAAGUGUCCAUGAGACUUGCAAUAUACAUGGGGCAUCUGCACAGCUCACUCCCGAUCAAGCAAGCAUCGAAUUCUUCGAAACCGUGCAGCAUUAGUAAGGAGACAUUUUUUCAAAGUGAGCAUAUUUCAAUUUCAUUUUGUCAAGGUUCUUAUUCAAAGCGUCUAUGUGUAUACCUUUCUCAUUAAGUUCUGUCUUCUUCCUUAGUUCCUUAUAUGCACUCUUAACAGUGAAGUCACCAUCAAAUGAUUGCGAAGUAGGUCCCACUUCCAUGAGUUGUCUUAUUUUUUCCUCCAAUACACUUCCAAGCAGGGAAAGAGCUAUCGAGGGCGGAACUUGAAGGUGUUCUGGUUUUUGUUGAACCUUUUUUGUUUCAUGUCAAUGGGACCUUAUCCAAUUGGCAAUGGUGGGAAAACAAAGUUUGCCAUUUUGAUCCAUUUGUAAGGUUAAGUCACUUGGCAGUGGGGGUUUCACAGUUGAGUGGCAAGGGCUAUGGAGGCGGAAGCUUCUUUUUGUCUGUAUUUUUUUAGUUUUAUGUAAUUUCGUUGAUAGGAUAGAAUGGUUAAAGUGAUAUGUUCAGGGUGAGAAUCCAACUUGAGUAACUGUUCACCUGCACUGAAUAACUUGUAUGUUGAGAAAUUUAAAUUCUUGGUGUUAUUUUGUUGGGUUGAAGUUAUUGAUGUUAGAUGUAUGUAUGUGUGUGUUGUAUGGUAGAUAUUGUAUAUGGUUGAUAUUUUAAGUUCUAUGGAAUCUGGCUCUUUUUGAAGUAAAUGAUUGAGGUCAAUUUGUUGAGUUGAAAUAUGUAGGAUAUGGCAUUUGAAUUUUAUGAUUCCUAUUUGUGGAGCAAGAUAAAUGUAUGAUUUGGUUAAGGUUGCUUGCCUUUGUAUGUGAUGUUUGAAAUGUGGUGCUAAUGAGGGCUAUGUUGGUUAGGUUCUUAUAUUGUAUGAAAUUGACAUGUUUUGACUUGUUUUGAGGUGUAUUUGAUGACAUUUUUAGAGUGGUUAUAGGCUUGGUUUGGUAGCCAAGAUAGGUUUGAAAUUUGCCUUGUUUUGGAAGCAAAAAUUGGUGCACAUGGUCAGGGAUACAGGCUAUACAUGGUCUACCCUCGGUCCCAUACGGCCGUGUGUCCUAAUGAUUUUAGGUGCAGGGCACACACGGUCUAAGACACAACCAGCGACAUGGUCGUGUGACCCAAAAACAAAUACACACACGGGCAGUCACACGGCCAUGUGACCUUAAUUUGAAUAUACACAUGGGUGGGCACACAGUCGUGUAUCUCGACUUUGAAUGUCCACACAGUCUAGGCUAUUACACACGGCCAUGUGUCCCUUGUUUUAAAAAUUUUCAUCUUUUUUCCUAACUUUUCCGUUUUGUUCCAAAUUGACCCUAGAAUGUUUCUAAUUUACUUUUAGGGCUCCGUAAACUCAGUUUAAGGCCUGUAAAUGUAUGUUUAUUGUGAAUUGAUUGUGAUUUGAUUAAUUGUAAUUAUAUUGAAUAAUUGUUUUUAAGUAGUGUUAAAUGUUUGAAAUGUUAUAGUAAUACUCCAUGACUUUAAUUCAGCGACAGACACUGGUUCAGGGCGUUAAGUUUAAAUUAUCUUUUAUAAAUUUUAUAUAAAUGCAUGAAAAAUACAAAAAGAAACACUCUAUAAUAAUAUUUAUUAAUCAUUAAAACUUAGUUUUUUAAUAUACUUUUCUUGAUCGAGUUAGUGUCGAGCUAACUCAUGAUACUGUCUAAAUUCAUGACGCCAAUUCAAUCAUACACUUAAAUAAUAGUAAAAAUGUUAUUAUUUAUGAAAAGAUCAAAAUAUCAAUGUUGAAUCCCAAAAUGAAAUCAGCAAUUAAGAUUUGAAAUAUAAGUAGAGAUGGUAAUGGAGUGGGGCGGAAUGGUUUUUUGUCCACCUGAACCGAUAUACCUCUAACAUAAUCCGACUUUGAUCCAACUCAAAAUUAAAUAUUAAUUUACUUAUCUUGAACCUUACUCGAAAAAUUAAAGUUAUACCCUAUUUCGAUCAAUAUACCAAUACUUUUAAUUGUUUUUAUAUGUUUUUAUUAAAAUAGAAUAAUAGUUUUAAAGUUUUUAACGACAACAUUACUUUUUUUUUUGUAGUUAUAGUUAUGGUAGGGAAAAUAUUUUUAUAAUUAUCAUAUUUUAUAAUCUAAUAUUAUAUAUAAAUGUUUAUUUUGGUAAUUACGGGGCAAAUUUUUCUAAAUCGGAGAAAGAAUUAUAUGAAAUUGUGAUUCCACGUUAUCUGUAUCAUUUUCUAAUACGAAAAUGACAAAUCAGAAUUUAAGAUUUAAUCCAUGUACUUUAAAAGUUAAAAUUUCAAUUAUCCUACUUCUACGAUUUAAAAAUUCUAGUCCAAUUAUUAUUAUUUGUAAUUUUUUUGUCAAAAAAAUCAACUAACAUCAUAUGAAAUGUUAUAUGAUGGCAGUCUAAUCAGCAUGCCAAAUUGGAAGAUUUUGAUGGAAAUUAUUAACAAUGUUAAAGAUUAGAAUGAAAAUUUUAAAUCAGAAAAGUAAUAUGACUAAAUUUUAAAUUUUAUCUAAGCCAAAGGGACUAGCAACAUAUUUUCACAAAAGAAAUUGAUAGACUAAUUAAUUUAGGUUUUAGACUAAGCAAAAUUGUCAUUUCCAACUAUAUUCAACUUGUAUAAAUACGGAAGCUAAUAACUUUUCAUGGAAUCUAAGGACAAAAAAUAAUUAACAUACUGCAUGUAAGAAAAAGAAGAAAUAAGCAAAUCAUAUAAAUUUUAUUAUCAUAUAUUUACAGUUCAAACCUCACAAUUUUCAGCCUUAAAACAUUACAUUGAUUAAACAUACAAUUAAAAAGUAUCAAGCUUUAAGAACAACCACAAUUUUUUUUUUUUGGUGAAACUGAAGCCUCAAUUUUCAGCACCUACCACGGAUGGUUGAUUUUCUGCAUUCCCAAUAAGCAAUAUACUUGCAUCCUAGUUCUGCACAUUCAAUAAAAAUAUAUUUACAAGGCUUACUACAUUCAACACAUUCAGGAUAGUAAGGAAAGUUCUUGACAAAGUGAGAGGGUGUGGAUGGUCUCCCUCAUUGUAGGUGCUCCCGAGUUUGAUGAAUGGAUAUUUUCUAAGAACGCAAUCUACAUGAGCAGAAGUGUCACAAGUUUCACAAUGAUAAAACCAAUUCUUUGAAUCCCUUUUUUUCCUCACAAAUGUCACAAUAAUGAUAUUUUGUAUAAUCAUUAAUCUUGUGAUAAGUGAGGUUAAGAGGAUGAUCAUCUCAAUUGUGUCCGAUUCUAGUUGGUCGCAUAACACAAUGAAGGCAUAAACCAAAGUUACAAUCUUUACAACCAUAUGUGUUACUGAGAUCCGUCCCACAACCACUACACUGCUCCUCGAAAUGAUAAUAAUCAUAAUAGAAAAGAAGAGGGUGUUUAUGCCCUGGAAUUUUUAGAUCUUAUUGGAGAGUUGCACACCGAACGCACGUGUGAAUUCCACAUUCAUUACAUUUAUAAGAAAAUCCAUUAGAAAGGUAGCUGCAUUGAUCAGAUUCGAACAUGCAGUCUGAAGUAAGGAUGAAGGGUUUUGAUCCAGAAAAAAUAGAUGCAUAUAGUCUAUACCUUUUUUUCUUGGUAAAAAAAGGUCAUUGCGGUCCCAAUCAGAUAUACCUUUCUUUAUUGGGAUAAUAUAGUUUUUGGCCCUUAAACUUAAUAAUUAAAUUUUCUUUGAUACUUGUAUUUUUUUUACUUUGGUCUUUGAAUUUGAUAACUAAAUUCAUUUUGAUCCUUAAACUUGGUACUGGAGCAUUUUAUGAAUUUUAAUUAUUUAUUAAAUUAUUAUUGGUCCAACAGUUGUACUGAUCGAAUUGAGAAUCGGUGAUCUCGGUUAUUAAAACACUAAAUUUGACACUCUUAAAAUUAAUGUGUAGUUAAAUUUUAUUUUGACCCCCAAAAUGAAAAAAAAAUCAUUUCAGUCCUUUUAUAAAUAAAGAAAUUAUAAAUCAAUAUAUAGUAAAAUUUCUCUUUAGCCCCCUAAAAAUGAAAAAAAUUAUGUUUAAUUGCUUAAAAAUCAUGAAAUUAUAAAUUAAUACAUAAUAAACUUAUUUUUUAUCUAUGAAAAAAUUGUAAUUAAUUUCGCCCCUUGUUAAAAAAAUUUCUAGAUUCGCCCCUACCAAAGUGAAUGUUUAGGGGUCAAAAAUUAUAUUAUCCCUUCUUUAUCUUUCAUUUUUAUUUUCCAUUUUUUUUACAAUUUUUGGUAUUUAAUUAAGAGAAAAUUGGCCCUCAUUUUCAUCUCUUAUCUCAAGGUAUUCACGGUUAAAAAUUAAGAGAAUUAAGAGAAUUUUUGAGAGGUUAAAGCUAAAAUUCUUGCAUUAAAAUAAAUAUUAAACUUUUGAAAGGAUCAAAAAUGAAAAACUUUCAUUUAACAAAAACAAUUUAAAAAGAAUUAAAUUGAAUUUUUAAUAUUUUAGAAAGACUAAAAUUAAAUUGUAUCAUUUAAUCAAGGUUCAUAUUCUUCUUAUAAACCAACCCUUUAUUUAUUGAAAUAUAUAUUUGUUUCUCUGAAAAUAUUUCAUAAAAAAUAUUUUCAAAAAAUUUGCCAUGGAUUCUAAAUAAAAUUUCUUGUGAAACAAAUGGAUUGUAAACAUUUUUUUUAUAUCUAACUAUAUCCAACUUAUAUAAAUAUGGAAGGUAGCACAUAAGGACUAAUUAUUCAUGGAAUCUAAGGAUUUUUAUGAUUUUAGUUAGCAUGCAACAAAUUUAAUAUAUGAAAAUUAAAGAAGAUAUAAGCAACUCAUAUCAAUUUUAUUCUCAUAUAUUUACAAUUCAAAUCUAAAUAUAUUACAUUGUUUAAACACACAAUUAAAAAGUAGCAACCAUUAACAACAACCGCGCAUUGUCUUAUUCUGAAACUAAAGCCGCAAUUUUCAGUAUCUACCACCGAUUUCUGCAUUUCCAAUGAGCAAUAUAGUUACAUCCUAGUUCUGCACAUUCAACAGAAAGAUCUUCACAGCGCUUACCACAUUUAACACAUUCAGGAUAGUAAUGAAUCUUCUUGACAAAUGUGAGAGGGUGUUCAUGGUUUCCCUCAUUGUAGGUGCUCCCGAGUUUGAUGAAUGAAUAUUUUCCAAGAACGCAAUCCACGUGAACAGAAGUGUCACAAGUUUCACAAUAGUAAAACCAGUGCUUUGGAUCUCUUUCUUUCUCACAAAUGUCACAAUAAUGAUAUUUUGUAUAAUCAUUAACCUUGUCAUAAGUGAGUGCAAGAAUAUGUUGAUCGCAUUUGUGUCUAACUCUAGUUGGUCGUAGAGCACACAAAUGGCAUAAGUGAAGAUUGCAAUCCUUACAACGAAAUGCGCGAAUGAUAUCCCUCCCACAAGCACUACACUGCUCCUCAUAAUGAAAAUAGAAAAGAAGAGGGUGUUUAUGCCCUGGAAUUUUUACAGCAUCUUGGAGAAAUAGAUCAAGACAUCGAAGGCAGUCGGCUUCUCCACAUUCAUUACAUUUAUAAGAAAAUCCAUUAGAAAGGUACCUGCAUAGAUCACAUUUGAACAUGCAGUCUGAAGUAAGGAUGAAGGGUUUUGGUCCAGAAAAAAAUUGCGUUCCUCCACAUAAAUGUUUUGAAAAAGACUUCAUCUUAGGCAAUUCAGCACAAGAUUUAUGAAGAAAGAAAUCACACCGCGAGCAAUGGUAGAACUUAGCGGAGAUCAAUAACAAGCACCCAUCACAACAUUUAUCACCAUGCUCUCUGAUAUUGUCACUUAAUAUCAAGUGGUGCUUAUGCUUGCAAUGUUCUAUUACUGUGGCUUCUCCAGCAUCAUUCCUCUCAAGAACCUUAUUGAUGGAGUUAACAGGUAUAUCAAGAGACUUGUCAGCUUCAUUUUCCUGUGAUACUAUGCAAUACAACUUCUUUUCUUUCAAUGCACAAUCCACAUGGAAUAUAACAUUACAAUCUGCACAGAAGUAACUACCGUGCUCUGUAUCGACAACUUCAUGGCACAUAAUGCAAUUCAAACUUUCAAAAUAUUCCUUGUGAAUGAAAUACGUGUGAAAAACACGAUGGACAUGGAAAGAGUGUUGGAGAAUGCGUGGCAAUGAAAUGCAUUUUUUAUGGACCAUAAUACUGCAUGUACAACAUGCAUAGGCAACAUGAUGUCCUUCGGUGCCACAAGCAUCACAAAUGAAUGGAAUUUGUCUCCAAAUCAAGGUGAAUGGGUGUUGAUGACUUUUAUCUUCAAUAACUGGUAAUGGCGAUAAACAAUCAAUGUGAAUAGCCANNNNNNNNNNNNNNNNNNNNNNNNNNNNNNNNNNNNNNNNNNNNNNNNNNNNNNNNNNNNNNNNNNNNNNNNNNNNNNNNNNNNNNNNNNNNNNNNNNNNNNNNNNNNNNNNNNNNNNNNNNNNNNNNNNNNNNNNNNNNNNNNNNNNNNNNNNNNNNNNNNNNNNNNNNNNNNNNNNNNNNNNNNNNNNNNNNNNNNNNNNNNNNNNNNNNNNNNNNNNNNNNNNNNNNNNNNNNNNNNNNNNNNNNNNNNNNNNNNNNNNNNNNNNNNNNNCCACAUGCUCUAGCUCUUCCAAAUUUCUUUCCGCAAUAUUAAAUGUAAACAAAGCACAUUUAAUAUGAAAGUUCAAGCCACAAGAGCAAUGGUAAAUGAAUUUCUCACAUGUUUCAUCACAGAAAUCGCAAACGCACCUUGUAUAAGAAGUGUAAGGUGGAGUCUGCAGAAGCAGGAGAGGAUGGUGGCGAUGAAAAGGAUGAUUAAGCUCCAAAGGUGCCUGGGCACACGUCUUGUGGAGGUAAAACCCACUGCACUCCACACAGCUAAAACAUGGAGCUGACACCUUCUCCCCACACCUUGAGCAAUCAACAACUCCAUUGCCAUUGCCAAGCAACUGCUCUUCAUUUAACAUCAACAGUGGAUGUUGAUGCCCGUAGUUCUUUAGCUCUUCCAUUUCUCCUUCCUCUCCGUAUCUUUCGAUGUGGUAGAGAAAGAAAAAUUGAAAUUGAAUAACUCAAAGAAAGCAGAAAAUUAGAAGGGAGAGGUUCCAAAUGUUUAUUUGUAUGAAUCUCUUUGAACUUGCUAUGGUACUUUGCUUCAACAGUGGGUUGCCUAUACCUAUAUAUGUUUGAUCUUCUUUAUAAUUACUAUGAAUGGGAUGCAAUGGGUUUGAGUGUACUCUAAGUAAAUUAUCAAUUUUUUUCCUUUAUUCUUUGCUUUGUGGAUUAACUAAUUUUGUGGAUUAGAUAACGAAUAUUCUGAUAUUGUUUGUGUGCCAAAAAAAACAAGAUGAUAUGAUGAAAGGUAUUUUUACAGGUUACAAAUUUUUCAACUGAGAAUGAUAUCAAACAAUCAAAUUAUUCUAAAAAAAUUGAAUUAAACCAUUUAUCUAAUCGAAAAUUAAAAAUCUAUUUAAUUUAUUUUGGUGAUUAGAAUAAAAAAAUUUGAACAAAGCUAGAUAGAUUAAUUAUACAAUUACCGAGCCACCAAUCGGCUCUCUUAGGAUAAUCUGUUACAGAAAUUACUCUUAACUCCCUUGGUAUCUGCUCAACCACUUUAAUCCCAAUGGGGUCAUCGUUCAUUAAAGUAACCAUAUAAUUAGACGUGAAUGAGACAUCUUUAUUAUAGGAAUGAUCCACAUUCAUUGUCCUGCAGUACAAACUGAAUCUACAAGCUAAUGAUAGAAACAUAAACCAAAAUAUAUAGUACAUUGUUUGAUUAAAAUUGAAAACAUGGUUCAUAUUUGUCCAUUGCAAUGUUCAGAUGUUCAAUAACAUGCAAAAGAUAUAUAUAUAUAGUCUAAUGACAGCUUCAAGUUUAUCUAAGCAAAUACACAUAUAUCACCCAAAACUUCCCACAGAAACUCAAAUUUAAGUACUAAUAAGUUCAUAAAACAAGUUAAACGAAAGAUUACAUCAAGGGAAAAAGACAAUCAAGACAUGUAACUAUACCGAUACUCAUAUUUAAUCAAACUCACAAAGCGAUAACCGCGUGUCGUUUGUGCUUGAGGAAUGUCUGAAACUCUUUAUAACCACUCCUGUAAUGGUCCAGACUGAAAGUAAGCUGUCUUAUUACCUCUCUUUUCUCUUCAGACACAUCUAAGAUCAUGCUCCUUUGCUUAUCCACUUCCUUCUCAAGGUCCUUUAUCUUCAAUUUCAACUCAUCUUCUAGAUUCUUUGUUAGCUGCAUAUGUUCCUUGCUUAAUUGUUGUAAAUGGUCCUCCAUUUGUCUGAUCUGUAAAUCACGAGAACGAACCUCGGCCACGAGAUUGUUUACUGUUGCAGUAACACAAUCUUUGUCUUUCAUAAGCAUAUCAUAUUUCAAUUUCAUUUUGUCAAGGUUCUUAUUCAAAGCUUCUAUCUGUAUACCUUUCUCAUUAAGUUCUGUCUUCAAUUGAUUGAUCUGACCUUGUAAGUUGGUUUCUUGUACAGCAAGCAAGCUUUCGAUAACUGGUAAUGGCGAC